UUGCUCUAAAAAAAUAUAUUUCAAUAUCGCUUGUCUUAAAAAAAUGGUCUUUUUCCCCAGUCUUUAAAAUCAAAGGAGCGAGGUCACCUUGCUGCUCUAAAAAAAAGAGUUUUACCUAUCUCGUCCCAAAAAUGUUCUCUACCUCUUGCUCUAAAAAAAAUAUUUUAUCUAUCUCACCCUUUCUCUCAUCGUCUUCUUUAAUAGAAUAUAAUUUUUUAUUAUAUGUGGUGUGAGUCUGUGUGCUAGGGAAUAUUGUUGUUGUUGUUGUUUAAAGAAAAAAUGCCACCAGCAAACGCUGUUGCGGUUGUACUAGAAAUGUGCGCGGCGUUGCCGCUUUAUGGGCAGUGGUUAGCUAUGCGUCGUACAUGUGUCUAUGUGUUUUUCUUUUUUUCUUUGUAUGGCGUAUAUUUUAAGUGUAUUUAUUUUGUUUGUUUACAUGGUGACACGAUGUUCUCAUAUAUGUGAGUGCACGGAAUGUCAUAUAUAUAGUGAAGUAUUUGGCUUCUUAUAUGUAUAUCAGUGAUUAUUUGUUUUGGAUUAUUUUGUAUUACAAGUCAGUAUAAAAUUAAAAGAUUAGGAAACAAAUAUUAUGAAAAAAUGUAUUUAUUGAUUUAGAGUUAAGGUGGGGAGAAUUAGAAAGCAGAGAUUAUGAAAAGGGUAUAAAUUUAUUUAGAGUUAAUUUUGGAGAGUUAUUUUUAGUUCAUAUGCGAUAUGAGGAAAAAAUUAAUCACUGACAUAAAAUUAUAGAUGUAUAUAUCUAUCAAAUAAAAUGCACUAAACCAUAUGAUAUUUUAAGUGAAAUGCAUAGAUCUAGUCAUAAGAAACUCAACAAAAUUAGUUUGUUUUUUUAUGAUUUUCUAUAUUUUUUUUACGAAUUUUUGGAUAUCUCUAUUUUGAAAAGAAAAUAUUAGAAAUUAAUUGAAAAAUAAAAAUAGCAUAGGGCCGUAUUCGGCCCACUUAGGCCCAGUAAGCUGAGAGAGUGUGCGAGUACAGACUGAUAUUUUAUUUCAGUAAAAUUCGAGGACUAUUUUGAAUAAAAACAUGAGAGAGUGUGCUGGACGGCGGGUUAUAUUUCAACAAAGUGUGAGGGCUUUUUUGCAAAAUAGCAGAGAAUUGCGGGCCAUUCAUCGGACGGCCGGGAAUUGCGGGCGACGUGGCCACGCUCCCUGGGCCUCUUUUGGUGCAUGAAUCGUCUUCUUAAGGAGAUAGCUAGAGACCAGCGGAACGCAUGAGAUGGGCCGUGCAUUAAUCAUAAGGUCAGGUUGGGCUGGACUGCAAGCUGCUCCGCUUCGGCAAUGCUUGGGACGUCUUGGGCUGCAAGAGAAUGAUAAAAAGGCCUGGAAGUUGAUUUGGGCUGAUACGCCCGCCCAAGGCCCCUCGUCGCCACAAUCAGUC
This 1395-nucleotide long non-coding RNA is filed under the name Sorghum bicolor (sorghum). Its description in RNAcentral is "long non-coding RNA (SBIC_LNC013357)". Lineage: Eukaryota; Viridiplantae; Streptophyta; Magnoliopsida; Poales; Poaceae. The record is from RNAcentral.